Molecule: ribosomal RNA, 777 nt
Filed under: Triticum aestivum (bread wheat)
Lineage: Eukaryota; Viridiplantae; Streptophyta; Magnoliopsida; Poales; Poaceae
Description: partial small subunit ribosomal RNA
Source: RNAcentral
AUGGUUUCCUGGAGCGAUUCUGGCAGUUCGUCCGACGCUGAGUCAGUCAGCAGCGAAGUGCAGUUACCUGCCACCAUCUUGUGCUUGGAAUGGAGCGGCCUGGCCACAGAUCUGAGUUCAAGAUGUGAGCAUGAAUGUGUGUGUCAGAAGCUGGUGGCAUUUGAUUCAGUGGAUAGUGGGAGGAGAUUCUUAGCUUGUGCACAGAAGAACAUACCUAAAUGCAGCUAUCUGGAGUGGGUUGAUCCUGAGUGGCCUGCCCCUUUGAAGAUGAGCCUAGCUAGGAUCUGGGGCAUGUAUGAAGAUGAGAACAAGCUGAGGCUCAAGGACAAUGUGGUUCAUGCUCAAGAGAAUGUUAGGGUUGUGAGAGAGAAGGAAAAGAUGGAAAGAGACUUGAGGUUUUUUAAGGUUGGUUUUGCUCAAAUGGUGGCUGAGAAGGAGCAAGCUCUGGCCCAGCUAGGCAACACACAACUUGCUCUGACUGACAUGAAGGAAGAUCUUGAUAAGAAGAAGAUUUCUGAUAAAUCAUUCACAACCAUUCAUCAAGUUGUCAGGGCCAAGGCAGAGAAAGAGAGGGACCUAAUAAAGCAGGAGAGGGACAACAUCAUGAAAGAGAGGGACAAUCUGGUGCAAGAGAGGGACAACCUGGUGCUGGAGAGGAAUGUGCUGAAGCAAGAGGAGAAGAAGUUAGAGUACAUGAUUGGUGAUCUUUUCAAACAUAAGGAAGACACCAAGGGCAAGAUAAGGAAGCUGAAAGAGAUGCUUGAAGAAUUUGAAUGA